Long non-coding RNA from Onychostoma macrolepis, 321 nucleotides. RefSeq lists it as uncharacterized. NCBI's taxonomy places the organism in Eukaryota, Metazoa, Chordata, Actinopteri, Cypriniformes, Cyprinidae. The record is from RefSeq and is a predicted model, not a curated record. The transcript is spliced from 3 exons.
CACCUACCAUGGCUGAGUGUUGGCAGAGCUAACACGUGACCGAGCACUUCUACAAUCGGAUUGGCCAACUCGUACUGCUCUGGGGGAAAAAAAAAUUGGCGGUCUAGAAUGCCUAAACAUAACAUGUUUGAUCAAGCGCAUUACCGCCCCUCACCUGGCAACGGGAGCAGUGUGCUGCUGGGUACCAUGCAUUUUACCCGGGCAAUGGCACGGAGGGGAAACGCUGAGGGCGAAGAAGGAGAAGAUUCCACAAACAAAAGUGCUGAUAAGAUGGACAGUCUCAAGCCUGUUAAACAACAGAUUCUCUGGAAAAAGAAGGCU